GUGUCAGCAGCCGCGGUAAGACGAAGGUGGCGAGCGUUAUUCGGAAUCACUGGGCUUAAAGGGCGCGUAGGCGGAACGGCAAGUGUCUUGUGAAAUCCCCCGGCUUAACCGGGGAAUGGCUGGGCAAACUGCCGUUCUUGAGGCAAGCAGGGGUGCGUGGAACUCUUGGUGGAGCGGUGGAAUGCGUAGAUAUCAAGAGGAACGCCGAUGGUGAAGACAGCGCACUGGGCUUGUCCUGACGCUGAUGCGCGAAAGCGUGCGGAGCAAACAGGAUUAGAUACCCUGGUAGUCCACGCCCUAAACGAUGCCUACUAGGUUGUGGAGGUUCUGACGCCUUCGCAGCCGAAGCAAAAGUGUUAAGUAGGCCGCCUGGGGAGUACGGUCGCAAGGCUAAAACUUAAAUGAAUUGGCGGGG
RNAcentral lists this ribosomal RNA (415 nucleotides) under uncultured prokaryote. RNAcentral's name for it is "bacterial SSU rRNA". It matches the Rfam family "Bacterial small subunit ribosomal RNA", at positions 505 to 918 of the family's 1533-position model. The record is from RNAcentral.